AACUCCAAAAGUUCUAAAUAAAACAUUUUGAAUGAUGUAAGGAGAUGUUGAUCCUUAUAAAUUAUAAAGUGUUACAUGCAAAUAAGAACAGAUAUGGCUGAAAUUGUUAAAUUUGUUUAUAUUAUAAUUAUGUUUCUUAUUGCAACAAACGUUGAAGCAUGGAAAUUCAGAUGUUUUAAAGAUUCAGAUUGUCCCAGAAAUAUUUGUCGAAACCCUUUGGUGCCCAAGUGUAUGCACACAAUACAAUGUAGAUGUGUUUUUACAGGGCAUUAAAUACCGACAGGAUUCCUUAAUGUUGUCAUUUAGUCAUAGUGUUGGUGCCUAAUAAUUUACUUGUUCUACGCUAUGCUUUGGAAUCAUAAGGAGAGAAGAGAAAAAGAGAACUUCAAAAUUUUUAUUAAAAAAUAUUUAAAAUUUUAAUAAUAAUUUAAAGAAUGAUCUGUGAAGAAUAUCAAUCAAUUCAUAUUUUUUUUAAUUUUUAACAUAGAUUAUAUUUUAAUAAUUAAUCUAAUAAACCUCACCAAAAUCCUUCAAACCCCUUUUUCAUUGUAAUUUUCAAUUCUUCAAAUAAGGAAAAUUUACUUUAUGUAAAAUUAAAGUUCUCAAAAUUCUCUCUAUCUAACUUUCUCUAUUCGUUUUAUCAAUUCUCUCUUUUUUUUUAAACGCUCUCUUCUAUUUUCAUCCAAAGUCCCAAACAAAACUUUAAAAUUUUUAUUAAUUAUGUGAUGUCAAUAUCUUUUGAAUCAUGAAUGUUUAAUCUAUGAAAAUUUCUUUAGCCACCUCCCUAUGGGGUCACCCCCAGCGAAAAUCCCAAAAUACUCCUGCUUCGGAAAUGAACUUCCGAAGCGCUUUUUUUUUAAAAAAAUUUCCAUAAUUCGGAAGUGCAUCUCCAAAAACACCUCAUGGGGGGUGUCUUCGGAGAUGAACUUCCGAAAACACCUCAUGGGGGUGAAUUCGGAAGUUCAUUUCCGAAUUAUGCAGAAACUGUGUUUUUUUUUAUGCUUUAUUUAAAACAGUCUCGCAUUUUAAUUAAACGUAAACGCCAAAUAAAAUAAGCAAUAGAUAAACUGAAAAUACUAAUAUGAUAAAUAAACAAAAAAAAAUACUAAUCCGAUGAAAAUAAUAUAUACAAACCGAAACAAAUAAAAAUAGUGUGCUAAAGAUACAAUCUGAAAACAAAAAAUAAAUAAACCCGACCACUACUGGGUGUGCCUAACCCUCUCACCCUGGGCCCUCCUCUGCCGCCUGUACCCCGCCGCACGGCCCGCAUCAGUGACGAUCAUCUCCAUCACGGCGACUGCAUCUGGACCGCCCUGUUGAACGACACCUCGAUCCAACGCGUCCCGCCCAAGCAUCUCUAUCCGCUGGCAGAUCGGCAGGAGAUCAAUGGCGUGGUCAUCCUCGGCCUGCUGGUUCUCCAGGAUCUCCUCAUGUGCUGGCCUAGGAGCGCCGGGAACGUCGGGUCUCAGCAGAGGAUGGGACACCCGGUAGAACCAUGUGACGUACCCCUCCUCACUGUGCCAGUCCUGUGUGACCCGAGUGAGACGGUACUCCUGCGGUACCACAUGAUGCUUCCAGUCCUCCCAUAUGGCUGUGAGCUGCACUCGGGUCAUUGUGUUAGGAGCUGCCUCAAAGGGUGACCUGGGUAUCCGCUGCACGAAUCCGAACUGACGCAUGCACCGCUCAGGGAUAUACCGGACCAUGAUGCCGGUCCCGCAUGCCAACCAGCCUGAAUAUAGAGCAAUGCCGUCAAAGGGGACAAUCUGAGCGUAGUCGACGAACGGCCUCCAGGUGAUGUCGUCGUGCAUCAUGCGGUCCAAGUACAGACGGUAUGGUCCCACCGCAUCGUUCCCCCUCUAGAGAGCGUAUCUGGCGGCCCUGGGCAUGGCGUCCACGUACGCAGGAUCGAUGUGAAAGCCGUGGAUGC
Long non-coding RNA from Vicia villosa (hairy vetch), 1927 nucleotides. RefSeq lists it as uncharacterized. NCBI's taxonomy places the organism in Eukaryota, Viridiplantae, Streptophyta, Magnoliopsida, Fabales, Fabaceae. The record is from RefSeq and is a predicted model, not a curated record. The transcript is spliced from 3 exons.